ACGGGUGAGUAACACGUGAGUAACCUGCCCUUGACUCUGGGAUAAGCCUGGGAAACUGGGUCUAAUACCGGAUAUGACCUUCCAUCGCAUGGUGGUUGGUGGAAAGCUUUUGUGGUUUUGGAUGGACUCGCGGCCUAUCAGCUUGUUGGUGGGGUAAUGGCCUACCAAGGCGACGACGGGUAGCCGGCCUGAGAGGGUGACCGGCCACACUGGGACUGAGACACGGCCCAGACUCCUACGGGAGGCAGCAGUGGGGAAUAUUGCACAAUGGGCGGAAGCCUGAUGCAGCGACGCCGCGUGAGGGAUGACGGCCUUCGGGUUGUAAACCUCUUUCAGUAGGGAAGAAGCGAAAGUGACGGUACCUGCAGAAGAAGCGCCGGCUAACUACGUGCCAGCAGCCGCGGUAAUACGUAGGGCGCAAGCGUUAUCCGGAAUUAUUGGGCGUAAAGAGCUCGUAGGCGGUUUGUCGCGUCUGCCGUGAAAGUCCGGGGCUCAACUCCGGAUCUGCGGUGGGUACGGGCAGACUAGAGUGAUGUAGGGGAGACUGGAAUUCCUGGUGUAGCGGUGAAAUGCGCAGA
RNAcentral lists this ribosomal RNA (578 nucleotides) under uncultured bacterium. RNAcentral's name for it is "bacterial SSU rRNA". It matches the Rfam family "Bacterial small subunit ribosomal RNA", at positions 102 to 694 of the family's 1533-position model. The record is from RNAcentral.